UGUGCCAGCAGCCGCGGUAAUACGUAGGUGGCAAGCGUUAUCCGGAAUUAUUGGGCGUAAAGCGCGCGUAGGCGGUUUUUUAAGUCUGAUGUGAAAGCCCACGGCUCAACCGUGGAGGGUCAUUGGAAACUGGAAAACUUGAGUGCAGAAGAGGAAAGUGGAAUUCCAUGUGUAGCGGUGAAAUGCGCAGAGAUAUGGAGGAACACCAGUGGCGAAGGCGACUUUCUGGUCUGUAACUGACGCUGAUGUGCGAAAGCGUGGGGAUCAAACAGGAUUAGAUACCCUGGUAGUCCACGCCGUAAACGAUGAGUGCUAAGUGUUAGGGGGUUUCCGCCCCUUAGUGCUGCAGCUAACGCAUUAAGCA
RNAcentral lists this ribosomal RNA (364 nucleotides) under uncultured bacterium. Its description in RNAcentral is "bacterial SSU rRNA". It matches the Rfam family "Bacterial small subunit ribosomal RNA", at positions 504 to 866 of the family's 1533-position model. The record is from RNAcentral.